Molecule: long non-coding RNA, 205 nt
Filed under: Daucus carota (carrot)
Lineage: Eukaryota; Viridiplantae; Streptophyta; Magnoliopsida; Apiales; Apiaceae
Description: long non-coding RNA (DCAR_LNC002778)
Source: RNAcentral
GUUCGAAUCAUGAGAUGUGCAUGUGUGAUAAUUAGUAAAAAGAAAGAAAGAAAAGAAAAAAAACAUAAUAGUGUGUGUGUGGAGAGUUAUAAGAAUUCUUAAAAGUGAGACCAAAUGUGGUUAGAACCAUAUUUUGUGAGAAAUGUGAGACUAGAAACCAAACCAAAUCCAUUUUUCUAAAUGUGAUUUCAAAUGGAUCCAAAUU